This 1659-nucleotide long non-coding RNA is filed under the name Cinara cedri. Lineage: Eukaryota; Metazoa; Arthropoda; Insecta; Hemiptera; Aphididae. The record is from RNAcentral.
CCCCUAUUAUUAAUUAUAAUAAAAUGUACUUUGUUUUUUUUUUUUUUCUACAUAUAAUUUUUGAUCCACUUGUAAAUAUUAUAUAUUAUUAUUAUUAUUAUUAUUAUUAUUAUUAUCAUCAUCACGGUAAACGCAUUCUAAAUAUUAUUAUAAAACGUUAACAUUACGUAUAUUAUAUUGUUAUCGGUACCGUAAUAUAAACAAUAUUCCCCCCUAACACCCCUCCCCCCCAACCACCAACCGCCGCCGCACUACCCGCGGUGUUCGGCGAACGCGAUAUUUUUUUUUUUUUUUUUUUUUUCUAAGAGAACUAUAAGUCUAAAUCCAAAAAUAUACCAAUACCGACAAUAUUGUCACCACGGAUACCCGUAUAUAGUACGAUUAUGCCUAACGCGACAUUAUCAUUAUAUUUUAUACUUGUAUGUAUUUUUUUUUUUGCAUUUCAUACACCGAACAACGACCGAUAACAAUUAUUGGUAUAAUAACACGCGUGCGAAAAAUACUAAAGGCGUUUUAUUUAUUUUUUUAACACUAAAGCGGUUUCGUUAUUUACCGUGCCUGUUCGUCGUCGAUAAAUAUCACAAAUAUUGCGUUUUACGUCUUAUUUUUUAAAUUUUUUUCUUUUUUUUUUUUUUUUUUAUCGCGUCGACCGAACGCGCCGUCCGAAACGAAUCGCGAUCAAAUAAAUCGGUCUUACUCAAAUACUACACGAUUAUGCCGCGUGACCAUAUUAUUAUUACAAUAAUAUAUUAGUGUUUAAUUAUUAUUAUUAUUAUUAUUAUUAUUAUUAUCAUCAUCAUCAUCGUUACUAUUAUUAUUGCGCAUUCAUACGCAUACAUACACCGCGAUAAAAAUUAUUAUUUUUUUCCCUUUUUGUAAUUCGUAUACGCCUAUAUGUUUAUUAAUUUUUUGUUUUUUUUUUUUUUUUUUGUCCACGACAUAAUUAUUAUACGCGCGCCGAGAACCAUUACGGUACCAUUGUAGAGACACCCGUUUGAUAUUACGACCCGCUGUAACGCGCGUUACGGCACGGCGUCGUAGUAAUUUAUAAUAUUUAGUACCGCGCGGUGUACGCGCGCUUGCGUACGACCAAAAUACCGUCCCUCCGCCCUCCACCCCCUUGACUUACAAUACGACAUAACACACGCGUGCUCGACUUCGACGGCAACGUCUAAUAUAAUAUAAUAAAAUUAUUAUGUAUGUGUGUAUAUAUAUAAAUAUAAAUAUAAAUAUAAAUUUAAUGUCUAUUAUUUACUCGUACGACAUUGUAAUGUUCGUUAUAUGAUUUUAUCAUUGCAACGCCCUACUAAUAUUAUUGGUAUUACGUUAUUAUGUACCGUUUUAUAAAAAACACAACGGAUUAAUAAAACGUGACGUGAUGCACUGAAACGGUCGAAAAUCGCAUAUCGUCGCCCUUCCUUUGAUUUCGUUUGAGCCGAAAUUUCAACAUUUUCUCGAGGCUCUGGGGAUGUCCAUCCGUGUUGUACGUGUACGUAAAAAAAUUAAUUUAUCGGUUCUAUUUCUCGGCGAAUUUCCCCCGAAAACUGAGACGUAUGCGUUGUACGAUAUUGUUAUGCAGCAUCGUCAGUAGCGAAACCGAAAGUCCUAAUGUCCGCGGCAAAAUAUCUCACCGCAUAGAGAGCCCAAAACAAAACCGCC